UACGUAGGGUGCAAGCGUUAAUCGGAAUUACUGGGCGUAAAGCGUGCGCAGGCGGCUUUGCAAGACAGAUGUGAAAUCCCCGGGCUUAACCUGGGAACUGCAUUUGUGACUGCAUGGCUGGAGUGUGGCAGAGGGGGAUGGAAUUCCGCGUGUAGCAGUGAAAUGCGUAGAUAUGCGGAGGAACACCGAUGGCGAAGGCAGCCCCCUGGGCUGACACUGACGCUCAGGCACGAAAGCGUGGGGAGCAAACAGG
This 253-nucleotide ribosomal RNA is filed under the name uncultured bacterium. Its description in RNAcentral is "partial 16S ribosomal RNA". It matches the Rfam family "Bacterial small subunit ribosomal RNA", at positions 524 to 776 of the family's 1533-position model. The record is from RNAcentral.